This 466-nucleotide ribosomal RNA is filed under the name uncultured bacterium. RNAcentral's name for it is "bacterial SSU rRNA". It matches the Rfam family "Bacterial small subunit ribosomal RNA", at positions 33 to 507 of the family's 1533-position model. The record is from RNAcentral.
GACGACGCUGGCGGCGUGGAUUAGGCAUGCAAGUCGGACGGUAGGGCUUUAUCGUAAGAUAGAGUUUGAGAGUGGCGAACGGGUGAGUAACACGUAGGAAUCUACCCUUAAGACGGGGACAACCCAGGGAAACUUGGGCUAAUACCGGAUGAGAGUGCGAGAGAUUGCAUUUAAAAGGAUGGCGAAAGUUGUCGCUUAGGGAUGAGCCUGCGGUCUAUUAGUUAGUUGGUGAGGUAAGAGCUCACCAAGGCGACGAUCAGUAGCCGACCUGAGAGGGUGAUCGGCCACAUUGGAACUGAGACACGGUCCAAACUCCUACGGGAGGCAGCAGUGGGGAAUAUUGCACAAUGGGCGAAAGCCUGAUGCAGCAACGCCGCGUGAGCGAAGAAGGCCUUUGGGUCGUAAAGCUCUGUCGGGUAGGAAGAUAAUGACGGUACUACCCGAGGAAGCCCCGGCUAACUACGUG